Molecule: unclassified non-coding RNA, 374 nt
Filed under: fungal sp.
Lineage: Eukaryota; Fungi
Description: partial internal transcribed spacer region
Rfam family: Eukaryotic small subunit ribosomal RNA (bases 1-46)
Source: RNAcentral
AAGUCGUAACAAGGUCUCCGUAGGUGAACCUGCGGAGGGAUCAUUAACACGUAUCCACGUAUCAAACCAAACCGCGCACUAGGAGCAGAAGAAACCUCCCUGCGAGGAAGUAUGAUGUUCCAAUCUGACUUGGAAAAGAAAUGCUGUCAGUUAGCAUCGUGUAGUGGGUCCUUCGGGACGAUGCUCUUUGACUGGAGGGAAAAGCUCAAGGCAUAGUAUUUUCCAAGUAUAAAAAUUUUCUACCUCUACGGGAAGCCAACCUAUUUCACCCCCAUAUAACCACUUGACUGAUGACGCUCGUGCGGAGAAAUCCGAUUCGAGUUUUCGAUAUUCGAACUAAAGCACAACUCUUAGCAACGGAUAUCUUGGUUCUC